UACGAAGGGGGCAAGCGUUGUUCGGAAUUACUGGGCGUAAAGGGCGCGUAGGCGGCCUGCUAAGUCGAACGUGAAAUCCCCGGGCUUAACCCGGGAACUGCGUCCGAUACUGGUGGGCUUGAAUCCGGGAGAGGGAUGUGGAAUUCCAGGUGUAGCGGUGAAAUGCGUAGAUAUCUGGAGGAACACCGGUGGCGAAGGCGGCAUCCUGGACCGGUAUUGACGCUGAGGCGCGAAAGCUAGGGGAGCAAACGGG
Molecule: ribosomal RNA, 253 nt
Filed under: uncultured bacterium
Lineage: Bacteria
Description: partial 16S ribosomal RNA
Rfam family: Bacterial small subunit ribosomal RNA
Source: RNAcentral